UACGUAGGGGGCUAGCGUUGUCCGGAAUCAUUGGGCGUAAAGAGCGUGUAGGCGGCUCGGUAAGUCCGCUGUGAAAGUCGGGGGCUCAACCCUCGAAUGCCGGUGGAUACUGUCGAGCUAGAGUGCGGAAGAGGAUCGCGGAAUUCCCGGUGUAGAGGUGAAAUUCGUAGAUAUCGGGAGGAACACCAGUGGCGAAGGCGGCGAUCUGGGCUGAUACUGACGCUGAGGUGCGAAAGCGUGGGGAGCAAACAGG
Molecule: ribosomal RNA, 253 nt
Filed under: uncultured bacterium
Lineage: Bacteria
Description: partial 16S ribosomal RNA
Rfam family: Bacterial small subunit ribosomal RNA
Source: RNAcentral